UUCAUUACACAGAAGCAGCUAACGAGAUUGUCUUUUCUCAAAUCCUUACUGGAGUUUUCAAUGAUCCUCCUAUUUCUCUAGAUAGGGCAUGUUAUAGAAAGUGAUCACUUCAAGUUAACGGUUGUAUUAUAUUAAAAAUAAGGUGAACCUUCUGUCAAAAAUAUAAAUAAGGUGAACCUUUUUAUCGAUGUAAAUAAAAAUGUGUUUAAUCGCUGUAAAAAAUCUAAUAAAAUUCCUUAUAUUAUAGAGCCG
This 252-nucleotide long non-coding RNA is filed under the name Medicago truncatula (barrel medic). Its description in RNAcentral is "long non-coding RNA (MTRU_LNC000435)". The record is from RNAcentral. Lineage: Eukaryota; Viridiplantae; Streptophyta; Magnoliopsida; Fabales; Fabaceae.